AUGGUGUCCGACGACUGGAAGAACAGUAUUUGGAAGAAUGAUGCGGACCAUGUGUUUGCUGAAGAGUUGCUAUCCAGUAACAUGUGGUGGACAGCCUUAGAAUGGGUUCUUGAUUUGCUUGAGCCACUCUAUGUAGCCCUCAGAUAUGCUGAUACACAAAAGAAAUGUACUCUAUCUGGUUUCAAGAAGACUAUGAUGACAGCCAUACAAAAGAUGAGUUCUCAUCUUGGUGGUGGGUCACAGAUGUUAGAUAGAGUCAUGAGCAAGGUGUCCCCGAGGAUGGAAGAUAUGCAAAAUGAGACACUAAUGGUUGCAGGUAGAUACUAA
RNAcentral lists this ribosomal RNA (327 nucleotides) under Triticum aestivum (bread wheat). Its description in RNAcentral is "partial small subunit ribosomal RNA". The record is from RNAcentral. Lineage: Eukaryota; Viridiplantae; Streptophyta; Magnoliopsida; Poales; Poaceae.